RNAcentral lists this ribosomal RNA (376 nucleotides) under uncultured bacterium. RNAcentral's name for it is "bacterial SSU rRNA". It matches the Rfam family "Bacterial small subunit ribosomal RNA", at positions 521 to 896 of the family's 1533-position model. The record is from RNAcentral.
UAAGACGGAGGGUGCUAGCGUUGUUCGGAAUCACUGGGCGUAAAGGGCGCGUAGGCGGCCAGGCAAGUCGGCUUGUGAAAGCCCGGGGCUCAACCCCGGAGGUGCGGCCGGGACUGCUUGGCUGGAGGCCGGAAGAGGAGGGUGGAAUACCCAGUGUAGAGGUGAAAUUCGUAGAUAUUGGGUGGAACACCGGUGGCGAAAGCGGCUCUCUGGUCCGGUUCUGACGCUGAGGCGCGAAAGCGUGGGGAGCAAACAGGAUUAGAUACCCUGGUAGUCCACGCCCUAAACGAUGCGGGCUAGACGUCGGGGGGCAUGCCCCUCGGUGUCGCAGCGAACGCGUUAAGCCCGCCGCCUGGGGAGUACGGCCGCAAGGUUA